AGUGAACGCUGGCGGUAGGCCUAACACAUGCAAGUCGAACGGCAGCACAGUAAGAGCUUGCUCUUACGGGUGGCGAGUGGCGGACGGGUGAGGAAUACAUCGGAAUCUACUUUUUCGUGGGGGAUAACGUAGGGAAACUUACGCUAAUACCGCAUACGACCUACGGGUGAAAGCAGGGGAUCUUCGGACCUUGCGCGAUUGAAUGAGCCGAUGUCGGAUUAGCUAGUUGGCGGGGUAAAGGCCCACCAAGGCGACGAUCCGUAGCUGGUCUGAGAGGAUGAUCAGCCACACUGGAACUGGAACACGGUCCAGACUCCUACGGGAGGCAGCAGUGGGGAAUAUUGGACAAUGGGCGCAAGCCUGAACCAGCCAUACCGGGUGGGUGAAGAAGGCCUUCCGGUUGUAAAACCCUUUUGUUGGGAAAGAAAAGCAGCAGGUUAAUACCCCGCUGUUCUGACGGUACCCAAAGAAUAAGCACCGGCUAACUUCGUG
RNAcentral lists this ribosomal RNA (492 nucleotides) under uncultured bacterium. RNAcentral describes it as "partial 16S ribosomal RNA". It matches the Rfam family "Bacterial small subunit ribosomal RNA", at positions 29 to 507 of the family's 1533-position model. The record is from RNAcentral.